Molecule: long non-coding RNA, 611 nt
Filed under: Olea europaea subsp. europaea
Lineage: Eukaryota; Viridiplantae; Streptophyta; Magnoliopsida; Lamiales; Oleaceae
Source: RNAcentral
AUCUUGAGACCUAUAUAUCAUUUCAUAUUGAAUCAAAAUAUUGAUUUACAUUCAUAUUCAAGAUCUUCCUUUGUGUUCUUAAAGUUUUGGGGGGAUUACACUUGUGCUUUGGUGUUAAAUCCUUUACAAGGCUUGAUAAUCCUACAAACCGUUUGCCAAAACCCUUAAGCAUCUCAUUCAAUCCCGAGAGGGGGCAAAUAUAGUUUGAGAACAACGAUCCCGUGUUCAAACCUCAAAUUCGUUCUUGACGUAUUUCGUGAUUUCUAUUCAUUUUGUUUCUAUAAUUUUGUUGUUGUUUAUUCUCCAACCCCUUAUUUUCCAACAACCUUUUUUCCACAAAGCUAAUCUGUACAGUCAAUAUCAAAGGAGGAGGAGAUGAGCUUAUAAGCUUUUCUUUAUAUGGCACAUGUGUAGGAGUUGAAAAGGAACCAAAAAACUUCUAUCAAAUCCUUACACAAAAGUACGUAGAUCCUCUAUGUUGAAAUCAAAGAAAAAAAAAAGCGAAAAAGUACCUUGAUCCAUAGAUAUGAGUGUUUUGAAUGGGUUAUAAUCUUCCAAUUGUUAGAUAAUUCCCUUGAAAAUUCUUCUCUGUUGAUGGGGAUAAAGAGAGA